CGCUGUGGGGUCAGAGUGAGUGUCAUUGUCGAGUUAUGCACACUACACUCUACCGCUGUAGAACAUACCUAUAACGUUGCCUCGGCGGGAACAGACGGCCCCGUAACACGGGCCGCCCCCGCCAGAGGACCCCCUAACUCUGUUUCUAUAAUGUUUCUUCUGAGUAAACAAGCAAAUAAAUUAAAACUUUCAACAACGGAUCUCUUGGCUCUGGCAUCGAUGAAGAACGCAGCGAAAUGCGAUAAGUAAUGUGAAUUGCAGAAUUCAGUGAAUCAUCGAAUCUUUGAACGCACAUUGCGCCCGCCAGUAUUCUGGCGGGCAUGCCUGUUCGAGCGUCAUUACAACCCUCAGGCCCCCGGGCCUGGCGUUGGGGAUCGGCGGAAGCCCCCUGCGGGCACAACGCCGUCCCCCAAAUACAGUGGCGGUCCCGCCGCAGCUUCCAUUGCGUAGUAGCUAACACCUCGCAACUGGAGAGCGGCGCGGCCACGCCGUAAAACACCCAACUUCUGAAUGUUGACCUCGAAUCAGGUAGGAAUACCCGCUGAACUUAAGCAUAUCAAUAAGCGGAGGA
Molecule: ribosomal RNA, 571 nt
Filed under: Fusarium solani
Lineage: Eukaryota; Fungi; Ascomycota; Sordariomycetes; Hypocreales; Nectriaceae
Description: eukaryotic LSU rRNA
Rfam family: 5.8S ribosomal RNA (bases 185-338)
Source: RNAcentral